This 926-nucleotide ribosomal RNA is filed under the name Brevibacillus sp. TS.3. RNAcentral describes it as "bacterial SSU rRNA". It matches the Rfam family "Bacterial small subunit ribosomal RNA", at positions 55 to 965 of the family's 1533-position model. Lineage: Bacteria; Bacillati; Bacillota; Bacilli; Caryophanales; Paenibacillaceae. The record is from RNAcentral.
AUGCAGUCGAGCGGAUUGACGAGGAGCUUGCUCCCUGAUAUCAGCGGCGGACGGGUGAGUAACACGUGGGCAACCUGCCCUGCAGAUGGGGAUAACUCCGGGAAACCGGGGCUAAUACCGAAUAAUCGGUUCUUCCGCAUGGAAGAACUCUGAAAGACGGUUUCGGCUGUCACUGCAGGAUGGGCCCGCGGCGCAUUAGCUAGUUGGUGGGGUAACGGCCUACCAAGGCGACGAUGCGUAGCCGACCUGAGAGGGUGAUCGGCCACACUGGGACUGAGACACGGCCCAGACUCCUACGGGAGGCAGCAGUAGGGAAUCUUCCACAAUGGACGAAAGUCUGAUGGAGCAACGCCGCGUGAGCGAAGAAGGUUUUCGGAUCGUAAAGCUCUGUUGCGAGGGAAGAACAAGUACGGGAGUAACUGCCCGUACCUUGACGGUACCUCGUCAGAAAGCCACGGCUAACUACGUGCCAGCAGCCGCGGUAAUACGUAGGUGGCAAGCGUUGUCCGGAAUUAUUGGGCGUAAAGCGCGCGCAGGCGGUCCUUUAAGUCUGAUGUGAAAGCCCACGGCUCAACCGUGGAGGGUCAUUGGAAACUGGAGGACUUGAGUACAGAAGAGGAAAGCGGAAUUCCACGUGUAGCGGUGAAAUGCGUAGAGAUGUGGAGGAACACCAGUGGCGAAGGCGGCUUUCUGGUCUGUAACUGACGCUGAGGCGCGAAAGCGUGGGGAGCAAACAGGAUUAGAUACCCUGGUAGUCCACGCCGUAAACGAUGAGUGCUAAGUGUUAGGGGGUUUCCGCCCCUUAGUGCUGCAGCUAACGCAUUAAGCACUCCGCCUGGGGAGUACGGCCGCAAGGCUGAAACUCAAGGAAUUGACGGGGACCCGCACAAGCGGUGGAGCAUGUGUUUAAUUCGAAGCAACGCGAA